CUUCUCUCAUUUAUUCACAAAACGUUUAUUAAGCACCUACUGUGACAAACUGCUAGAAGACAAGAAUUAAUAAAACAUAGUUCUUGCCCUCAUAAGAGCUCACAGGCUGCAUGGGACAGACAGAUUAAAAAUAUAUAGAAAUGUGUUAAGAGGUAUAGUAGAGGUAAGUGCAGGUUAUUACGAGAAGCCCAGAGGAGACUAUUGGCUCGCUCUACAGGGGAGUAAGGGAAAGCAUCCCAGAGAAGACAUUUCAAAUUGAACCUUUUUAUUUAAAAAGGUGGCAUUUCCAGCAGGAGGAAUGACAUAUGAAAAUAUUUUACAUAAAAGGACAAUCCCUUUUAUUUCUUUAACUCUGACAUAUCUAGCUUCUCUUUCCUUGUCUUCUUUCUUCUCUUCUCUUUUUAUUUUUACUUAUUUUUUAUUUUCUCUUCUGGACAGGGGCAUACAGUGGUACUUCUGGUGUUUGUCAAGGUAUCAUUAUGGUUCACUUCUUAAAAAUCCAAGAAUCCUUUGGGCAUUAUCUGGGACUUAGAAAAAGAAGGUAAAAAGAAGGUCUGGAUCACAGCCCCAGUCUUGCUGAAACAAAGGUGUUCAAGUUCCAGAGCAUCUCAGGUUUUGUGAGCUGAACUGCCAAGGGAAAUCUUGAUUGCACACCUAAUUGUGGAGCAGAAAUCAAAUGGACCCAUGUGAGAUUCUCUUGUUGCUGCAGAUCUCCAAGUAAUUACGAAAG
Molecule: long non-coding RNA, 730 nt
Organism: Neofelis nebulosa (Clouded leopard)
Lineage: Eukaryota; Metazoa; Chordata; Mammalia; Carnivora; Felidae
Exons: 3
Source: RefSeq, a predicted model, not a curated record